GGUUGGUCCAAGUGCAGUAGUGUUUACAAUUAAUUGAUCACAACCAGUUACAGAUUCCUUUGUUCCUUCGUCACUCCCACUGCUUCAGUUGACCAGCCCUAA
This 102-nucleotide Y RNA is filed under the name Microcebus murinus (gray mouse lemur). Its description in RNAcentral is "Y RNA (ENSMICG00000046443.1)". It matches the Rfam family "Y RNA". Rfam says of the family: Y RNAs are components of the Ro ribonucleoprotein particle (Ro RNP), in association with Ro60 and La proteins. The Y RNAs and Ro60 and La proteins are well conserved, but the function of the Ro RNP is not known. The record is from Rfam by way of RNAcentral. Lineage: Eukaryota; Metazoa; Chordata; Mammalia; Primates; Cheirogaleidae.